Molecule: ribosomal RNA, 465 nt
Filed under: uncultured bacterium
Lineage: Bacteria
Description: partial 16S ribosomal RNA
Rfam family: Bacterial small subunit ribosomal RNA
Source: RNAcentral
GACGAACGCUGGCGGCGUGCUUAACACAUGCAAGUCGAACGGAAAGGCCCUGCUUGCAGGGUACUCGAGUGGCGAACGGGUGAGUAACACGUGGGUGAUCUGCCCUGCACUUCGGGAUAAGCCUGGGAAACUGGGUCUAAUACCGGAUAGGAGCCAUUUUUAGUGUGAUGGUUGGAAAGUUUUUUCGGUGUAGGAUGAGCUCGCGGCCUAUCAGCUUGUUGGUGGGGUAAUGGCCUACCGAGGCGGCGACGGGUAGCCGGACUGUGAGGGUGGACGGCCACCUUGGGACUGAGAGGCGGCCCAGACUCCUACGGGAGGCAGCAGUGGGGAAUAUUGCACAAUCGGCGCCAGCCUGAUGCAGCGACGCCGCGUGGGGGAUGACGGCCUUCGGGUUGUAAACUCCUUUCGCUAGGGACGAAGCUUUUUGUGACGGUACCUAGAUAAGAAGCACCGGCUAACUACGUG